Molecule: ribosomal RNA, 180 nt
Filed under: uncultured Glomeromycotina
Lineage: Eukaryota; Fungi; Glomeromycota
Description: partial small subunit ribosomal RNA
Rfam family: Eukaryotic small subunit ribosomal RNA (bases 92-180)
Source: RNAcentral
GGCCUGGCUGGGCGGUCCGCCUCACGGCGUGUACUGUCUGGCUGGGUCUUACCUCUUGGUGAGCCGGCGUGCCCUUUAUUGGUGUGCGUCGGGGAACCAGGACUUUUACUUUGAAAAAAUUAGAGUGUUCAAAGCAGGCAUAUGCUCGAAUACAUUAGCAUGGAAUAAUAGAAUAGGACG